Molecule: ribosomal RNA, 726 nt
Filed under: uncultured bacterium
Lineage: Bacteria
Description: bacterial SSU rRNA
Rfam family: Bacterial small subunit ribosomal RNA
Source: RNAcentral
GGUAGUCCACGCCGUAAACGAUGUCGACUUGGAGGUUGUGCCCUUGAGGCGUGGCUUCCGGAGCUAACGCGUUAAGUCGACCGCCUGGGGAGUACGGCCGCAAGGUUAAAACUCAAAUGAAUUGACGGGGGCCCGCACAAGCGGUGGAGCAUGUGGUUUAAUUCGAUGCAACGCGAAGAACCUUACCUACUCUUGACAUCCAGAGAACUUAGCAGAGAUGCUUUGGUGCCUUCGGGAACUCUGAGACAGGUGCUGCAUGGCUGUCGUCAGCUCGUGUUGUGAGAUGUUGGGUUAAGUCCCGCAACGAGCGCAACCCUUAUCCUUUGUUGCCAGCGGUUAGGCCGGGAACUCAAAGGAGACUGCCAGUGAUAAACUGGAGGAAGGUGGGGAUGACGUCAAGUCAUCAUGGCCCUUACGAGUAGGGCUACACACGUGCUACAAUGGCGCAUACAAAGAGAAGCGACCUCGCGAGAGCAAGCGGACCUCAUAAAGUGCGUCGUAGUCCGGAUUGGAGUCUGCAACUCGACUCCAUGAAGUCGGAAUCGCUAGUAAUCGUAGAUCAGAAUGCUACGGUGAAUACGUUCCCGGGCCUUGUACACACCGCCCGUCACACCAUGGGAGUGGGUUGCAAAAGAAGUAGGUAGCUUAACCUUCGGGAGGGCGCUUACCACUUUGUGAUUCAUGACUGGGGUGAAGUCGUAACAAGGUAACCGUAGGGGAACCUGC